This 497-nucleotide ribosomal RNA is filed under the name uncultured bacterium. RNAcentral describes it as "partial 16S ribosomal RNA". It matches the Rfam family "Bacterial small subunit ribosomal RNA", at positions 28 to 507 of the family's 1533-position model. The record is from RNAcentral.
GAUGAAUGAUGGCGGCGUGCCUAAUACAUGCAAGUCGAGCGAACAGACGAGGAGCUUGCUCCUCUGACGUUAGCGGCGGACGGGUGAGUAACACGUGGAUAACCUACCUAUAAGACUGGGAUAACUUCGGGAAACCGGAGCUAAUACCGGAUAAUAUAUUGAACCGCAUGGUUCAAUAGUGAAAGACGGUUUUGCUGUCACUUAUAGAUGGAUCCGCGCCGCAUUAGCUAGUUGGUAAGGUAACGGCUUACCAAGGCAACGAUGCGUAGCCGACCUGAGAGGGUGAUCGGCCACACUGGAACUGAGACACGGUCCAGACUCCUACGGGAGGCAGCAGUAGGGAAUCUUCCGCAAUGGGCGAAAGCCUGACGGAGCAACGCCGCGUGAGUGAUGAAGGUCUUCGGAUCGUAAAACUCUGUUAUUAGGGAAGAACAAAUGUGUAAGUAACUAUGCACGUCUUGACGGUACCUAAUCAGAAAGCCACGGCUAACUACGUG